GAUAAAGGAAGAGAUAGCAGAGAUAUAGAGACGUGUCUUCAGCUUCCUCGAGACAUCCUGCCAGAUAUUGGCAGAAUCUGGGCUACAGCUUGGAAAACACAGAAAACAUCUAUACAGCCUACUGCAACAUGGCAGUGAGGCCAGGAAGCUGAGCACUUCCUUGAGGUCUCCUUGGAAAUCUCUUUGGCCAGUCACCUGAGUAUGCUAGGAAGAAUGUUCUUAAGGCAUGGAUAAGAGGUAUCCAACUUACAUAUGUCAGCCCAGCAAGUUCAUCCAGUGUCAGAAUUUACGAAAAUAAAGGUCUUAAGUCCUUUCA
Passer domesticus (house sparrow) is the source of this 316-nucleotide long non-coding RNA. RefSeq lists it as uncharacterized. Lineage: Eukaryota; Metazoa; Chordata; Aves; Passeriformes; Passeridae. The record is from RefSeq and is a predicted model, not a curated record. The transcript has 2 exons.